Molecule: small RNA, 271 nt
Filed under: Arabidopsis thaliana (thale cress)
Lineage: Eukaryota; Viridiplantae; Streptophyta; Magnoliopsida; Brassicales; Brassicaceae
Description: ATSL056860
Source: RNAcentral
UUUUAAAGAAAUUUUUUACUUAUAAUAUAUAUAUAUAUAUAUAUAUAUAUUUAUAUUUGAUACAUUUAUACAAUUAUUAAUUUAUGAUAUUGAUGGGACCAUAUAUUUACAUAGGACUUUAAAAAAAAAUUAUUAUCUUAUUAAUUUAUCGAUUUGUGUCACUUUUUACAUUGGUCCCAUGUUGGGACCGAAAAAAUUUAUUAAUUUAUAGAGGUUAUUAAUUUAUAGAGUAUUAAUUUAUAGAGGUUAUACUGUAUUAAUUACUACAAUU